This 287-nucleotide ribosomal RNA is filed under the name uncultured Symbiodinium. Its description in RNAcentral is "partial Bacterial small subunit ribosomal RNA". It matches the Rfam family "Bacterial small subunit ribosomal RNA", at positions 1 to 309 of the family's 1533-position model. Lineage: Eukaryota; Dinophyceae; Suessiales; Symbiodiniaceae. The record is from RNAcentral.
UCUGAGAGUUUGAUCCUGGCUCAGAACGAACGCUGGCGGCAGGCUUAACACAUGCAAGUCGAACGAGAAGCUACCUUCGGGUAGUGGAAAGUGGCAGACGGGUGAGUAACGCGUGGGAAUAUACCUAGAGGUACGGAACAACGCCGGGAAACUGGUGCUAAUACCGUAUGUGCCCUUCGGGGGAAAGAUUUAUCGCCUUUAGAUUAGCCCGCGUUAGAUUAGCUUGUUGGUGAGGUAAAAGCUCACCAAGGCGACGAUCUAUAGCUGGUCUGAGAGGAUGAUCAGCC